This 2561-nucleotide long non-coding RNA is filed under the name Canis lupus familiaris (dog). RNAcentral's name for it is "lncRNA (ENSCAFG00845026547.1)". The record is from RNAcentral. Lineage: Eukaryota; Metazoa; Chordata; Mammalia; Carnivora; Canidae.
UCUCUGUGAUUAUCAUAAAUAAAUAAAAAUUAAAAAAAAAAAAAAAAAAAAAGAUCAUACAGGACAGCAGAAGCAACACCUGUCUGUCUAAGCGGAGACACUUCUGUAAAAGUCAAAACCAAAGCACCAGAACCGCAGGCGCCCCGGAUACGUCUGAAUCACCACGCCGGAAGAACAGCGCAGCCCGUCUGCUCAGAGAUACUGCCUGGGAGCUGCGGAUUGGAGGCCGCGGAGGUCCCGGCACAGGGGAGCCCCGGGGAGCGCGCCUGGCCCUGGACGGCCGGCUGCCUGCUUUCCCGGUGGCGCAGACGGUGGUGGUAUUCAGCAGUCAUUGUCCCCGACGGAGAGCAGCGUUUUCUUGUCAUGAAACAUCUCAUGGGUACAAAAGCACGUGUAGAGUUGCCUGUCCUGGCGGAACCAGUAGAUGCCACCCCCUGCCCAGCUUAGGAAGGACCCAGAAGUCCCUCUGCCCCCUAGACAACGGCUUCUCUGUGAUCGUCGGGAUCUACGGUCAGAUCGUGGGAGUCCCUCCCUGAGAAACACUAAAACGGAACUGACCGGUCCACCCUCUGAGGACCCACAGACUCGGGACCUGUGGCCGGGGGACCCGCCGGGGAUGGGCCAGGAGGAGCCCCCACAGACCCCGAGCAGGCCGGGCUGUUGCAGGGGCGCCUGUGGCCGGUGCGGUGACCAGCAGGAGCCCUGAGCGCUGACCGUGCCCCGAGGCUGCCCAGGGACCAGAGUGAAUGAGCCCGACUGGAACUGGGCCCCUGGGCCAGCAGGUCCACACGGCUUGGGGAUCUGGCCAGGACACGCAGGAACCCGGGACCCCCAAGAGAAGGGGAACAGACAGCAGAAGUCUCCAGAGGGACAGCCCCCUGCCGGGGACAGCAGCCCUCUCCACAGCAGCGGAAAGGCUUGGUCUGGACGAGCAACAAGGGCACCGGGCUGGUGGGCCUUCCCAGCUCCUCGCUUUGCGGUGGGGGGCGCACCAUGCCCCGGGUCAGAUGAACAGGCCAGCGACCAGAUCCGUGGGGGCACCAGGUAGGUGUCGGGUGGGGACGGUGGAGAAACACUGACCUUGACUCGGCACGUUCCUCCGCCAGCUCCAGGCUGCCCAGGACCGUAGGGACCGUGUGCGGGGCUCCGCAUAGACCCCGGCUCCCUGUCUUGGAGACUGCGGAGGUGAGUGCAGACGCCAGGCAGUGGGCAGGGGAUGGUGGUCUUCCUCCUGCCUUGGUUUCACUGUCCCCUAUGCCUUGGAUUACCCUAAGUGACCACGAUGAUCCUCAAACUAUUUGCAAAGUGAGCCUUGUGCAUCCAUGAAAUUUGGUCCUGACUUUCAGGGAGCUUGGGUUUGCCAGGAAGAGCAGUGCCGGCUGACCAGGAAGCUCAGGACUGGGGGUGUGGCCCCGCACGGUGGCUGCCAGCUGCCACCUCUGCCCUUGGAAAUCCUGCAGGAGCUCCUGUGAGCACCAGGAAGGUCAAAGGGCAAGGGGCUUCCCUGCCCUCCCUGGUCACUGCACGGUCACUCUCUGCAGCUUGUACUUCAGGAGCUGGGGUGGGGUCCCUUUAAAAUCCGUCGUCAAGUCUCCUCUUUCCAGAAACCUAGGGAGAACCGUGGCUACUAAGAGCAAGUUCAGGCAUCAUCAUGACUUGGGGGAGCCUCCUGCUGCUAAAAACGGGUCCGUCCCCUCCUCCGGGCCACCCCCGUGUGGUCCUGUAGGGAGGGAAGGGCUUGGAGACCUGCACCCUGUGGUCUGGGCCCUGCAAGCCUCAGCUGCCUGCGCCCAGGCCUCAGUGAGCCCGGAAAGCAGGCCCCGUGGGCUGUGCCGCCGCCGGACGCCUGCAGACAGAGAGCUGGGGACACCGGCAGUCGCUGCCCGUCCUGACUCCCGCCCCAGUUAAUGCGGCCUGUGGCAAAGCCCCAGCCGCAGGAGCCACCAGGCCUGGCCGCACCCCCAGCUGGGCAGGCGGUUCACCCACGCGGGCCCUCGCAGUCUCAGCACUUCACCCACGCGCUCCACGAUUUCCACAUGCAGGGAAAUCCCCAAUACAAGCCUGAACGUUUGCAUUUGGUCCGGACGGUAACAAACCUAGUCAGUGAAAGUCACUAGUGAGUUCACGUAACAGUCCUGGCGCCAGACUGUUUCCCUUCCUGGUUCCCGCCUCAGUCUCCUACUGGGACCCCAAACCACAGCCGGUUCUGAGUGUCCUGCUUGCGGGAGGAAGGGACGCGGGAGUCACGCCCAGAGCGAGCCUCAGAACACCUGCCCGCCUGCUUUGCACAAGGUGGGAAGCUCUACGCUGGCCCCUUUCGAGGACACUGAAGGAAACUGCUCCCUGCUUUCCAGAGAAGUGUGGUAGGGACAUGGUUUUAAAAACUCACUUUAAGGGGUGUCUGGGUGGCUCAGCGGUUUAGCGCCACCUUCAGCCCAGGGCGUGACCCUGGUCCAGGGAUGGAGCCGCACAUCGGGUCCCUGCAUGGAGCCUGCUUCUCCCUCUGCCUGUGUCUCCACCUCUCUCUGUCUCUCAUGAAUGAACAAAUAAAAUCUUUAACA